AUUGAACGCUGGCGGCAGGCCUAACACAUGCAAGUCGAACGGCAGCACAGAAGAGCUUGCUCUUUGGGUGGCGAGUGGCGGACGGGUGAGUAAUGUCUGGGAAACUGCCCGAUGGAGGGGGAUAACUACUGGAAACGGUAGCUAAUACCGCAUAACGUCGCGAGACCAAAGUGGGGGACCUUCGGGCCUCACACCAUCGGAUGUGCCCAGAUGGGAUUAGCUAGUAGGUGGGGUAAUGGCUCACCUAGGCGACGAUCCCUAGCUGGUCUGCGAGAAGGACCAGCCACAGUGGAACUGAGAAACGGUCCAGACUCCGACGGGAGGCAGCAGUGGGGAAUAGUGGACAAUGGGCGCAAGCCUGAUGCAGCCAUGCCGCGUGUAUGAAGAAGGGCUUCGGGUUGUAAGGUACUUUCAGCGGGGAGGAAGGCGGUGAGGUUAAUAACCUCGCCGAUUGACGUUACCCGCAGAAGAAGCACCGGCUAACUCCGUGCCAGCCGCCGCGGUAA
RNAcentral lists this ribosomal RNA (506 nucleotides) under uncultured bacterium. Its description in RNAcentral is "partial 16S ribosomal RNA". It matches the Rfam family "Bacterial small subunit ribosomal RNA", at positions 29 to 523 of the family's 1533-position model. The record is from RNAcentral.